UUUGACAACAAAAUCAUUCUGCUAAAUGAAAUGAAUAUUGCUAAAUAUCCUUGUACAUGUUGUCUUUUGGUCUUCUGUUUGUUUCAUUUGAGAUGCAAGCACAAUAUGCAGCAUUAACAGGUCACUCCAAGAAGCCCCGUGGCAAACUGAAAGGCAAGUGAGAACAGGGAGGAUUUCGAGUCAAGCGCAGAGGCCACACGAAGAAGAAGCCACAGACAAGGUCCCAUUGGACUGGCCAGAAGCUAAUCUUGUCCCAUUAUUCAAGAAAUGAACCAAGAAUAACCCUGGAAACUAUAGACCGUCUGAGGAUGUGCCGGGGGUACACAGUGUCACCAGCCUAGCAUGCACCCAGCUUACCAACCCCUUACGAACCCAUGCGACUUUGGAACGUGACAAGAAACCACAGCACUGGGAGGAAACCCGUGCGGCCACCGGGAGAAGGGUGGAUGGGCUUCUGUCGUAGACCCUGAUCUGGAGCUACACUCAAACAUCAGUUCUUUGUGGUGGUGAGACCUGCUCACAACUGGUUGCUUUCUGAAUUCCCAAAGACACGGCCUAGAAGAUUAGCGUGCCUUUGGGGUUCUGAGGCUUUGCAGCCCCGUGGAUGGGCCGACUCUACGCCAGUGCCACCAACUCACGUGUCGCAGGAGACAACAGAACCCUGGGAGCAGCAGACCAGCUCUCAGAGGCUCUGGACUUGGCAAAUCUCACUCUCUCUCUUUCUCUUGUUGGUGGGAGAGAGUUUGUUGCUCAUUUGAGUCGAAAAACUUGGGGGGAGAAAAGUGACUCGACAUACUUUAUCGUUGCAAAUCAGUUAGUUUUGUUGUGUCACCCCUCUCAUUGUGAAAGGGAACACCUCUCUGCCCCUUUACUAGGGAGAGAGCCUGCAGUAUGUCAAAUUGUCAGGUGAGUGAUUACUUUUUGUUGUACUACAGAUCAUGGGCUUUCUUGGGGGCUUUGCCAUUGCUUGCUUGGUGGGUAAUGGGUGCUGAUGUUUUGCUAAGGUGAGGUGGGAAGGGGGAUGCUCAUUGCUUUGCUGCUGUUUGUGCGGAGGAGGGGGGUAGUGGGGGUCUUUGGGGUUCUGACGUUUCAAAUGUCAUUCAUUCUUUGGGGCACUCUUGUUUUCGCGGAUGUCUGUAAAGAACAAGACUAUCAGGACGUACAUCGCAUACAUUUCUCUGAUAUUAAAUAGAACCACUGAACUACUAUUGUAUUCCAUCUGCCUCUUCCUUGGCCAUUGUCCUAAUCUAUCCAAAACAGUUUGCAGAUUCCUCAAUACUAGCUGCCCCUCCACCUAUCCUUAUAUUAUCCAAAACUUGGCCUCAAAAACAUCAAUUCUGUCAUCUGUUACGAAUGAGGAGCAAAUCUGAUGGACAGAAGGGUCCAGAAUCGCCAAUGCCCACCCCCCCCCUCCUUUUUGAGAAUCGCAAGAUCGCUAUUAUUUCAGGUCUGAGACCCAGGAAAUGAGAGAGAUACACAGCAUGUCAGGAA
This is a long non-coding RNA of Hypanus sabinus (Atlantic stingray), 1491 nucleotides long. RefSeq lists it as uncharacterized. Lineage: Eukaryota; Metazoa; Chordata; Chondrichthyes; Myliobatiformes; Dasyatidae. The transcript has 4 exons. The record is from RefSeq and is a predicted model, not a curated record.